This 237-nucleotide ribosomal RNA is filed under the name uncultured bacterium. Its description in RNAcentral is "partial 16S ribosomal RNA". It matches the Rfam family "Bacterial small subunit ribosomal RNA", at positions 111 to 334 of the family's 1533-position model. The record is from RNAcentral.
UAACACGUGGGUGACCUGCCCCUUACUCUGGGAUAAGCCUGGGAAACUGGGUCUAAUACCGGAUAUGACACAGUCUCGCAUGGGGUUGUGUGGAAAGUUUGUUCUUAAUUGGACACUUCGGUGGGGGAUGGGCCCGCGGCCUAUCAGCUUGUUGGUGGGGUGAUGGCCUACCAAGGCGACGACGGGUAGCCGGCCUGAGAGGGCGACCGGCCACACUGGGACUGAGACACGGCCCAG